This 253-nucleotide ribosomal RNA is filed under the name uncultured bacterium. RNAcentral describes it as "partial 16S ribosomal RNA". It matches the Rfam family "Bacterial small subunit ribosomal RNA", at positions 524 to 776 of the family's 1533-position model. The record is from RNAcentral.
UACGUAGGGUGCAAGCGUUGUCCGGAAUUAUUGGGCGUAAAGAGCUCGUAGGCGGUUUGUCGCGUCUGCUGUGAAAACUCGGAGCUUAACCCCGGGCCUGCAGUGGGUACGGGCAGACUAGAGUGCGGUAGGGGAGACUGGAAUUCCUGGUGUAGCGGUGAAAUGCGCAGAUAUCAGGAGGAACACCAGUGGCGAAAGCGGCUUCCUGGUCCGACACCGACGUUCAGGCACGAAAGCGUGGGGAGCAAACAGG